GUGUCUUGGAUGAUAUUCAAGCUUCUUGGAUCUAAUUCCGAUUGACAUGAUGAAAUGCAAUAUGAAAUGUUAAAUGACCUAAAAAUGAAUGCAUGAAUGAGGGGGGCAAAUUUUGAGGUAUUACAGCUGCCCCUAUACAGCUGCCCCUAUUCAAUCAACUGGAGACCCGAAAAGAAGAUACAGCUGCCCAAAACUUACUAAAUGUGUAUUUGAUAUUGAACACAUCGAUUG
RNAcentral lists this long non-coding RNA (231 nucleotides) under Lathyrus oleraceus (garden pea). Its description in RNAcentral is "Pisum sativum (pea) long non-coding RNA (PSAT_LNC015245)". The record is from RNAcentral. Lineage: Eukaryota; Viridiplantae; Streptophyta; Magnoliopsida; Fabales; Fabaceae.